GCGUUCCUGGGUAGGGCCAGCGCUCAGAGCUGUGACCUGCUGCAUCUGUGUGCUGUGCUCACCUGCUGCAUCUUUAUGAUACUGAGGCACAUGAAACAUUCUGCAGGACAGCAAAGCAUGUUGUUAUUCAUCUCCCCCUUAAGACUGAAAUAAACCCCUGUUCAUGAAGACCCCAUAAUUUACCAUCAGUGUGGUUCAAGGGGAAGCAUUGCUGGGUGAACAAGCUCAAGCUUUCUAUUUAAGGCCUGAGAUGAAGCUUAUUAACGAAUGAAGUUGACUGAAGCCAGUCAUCUACAGCCAGUGAGAGAGAGACACGUAGCUGCUUUCGUGGUGAUGAGACCCACAACUCUGGAGAGCAGCAUAUCCAGUCAUCACAUCACGUUUAAGACAGAAGUUUCUCUCUCUGAUGCUCAGCACAAAGACAACCUCCAUCUCUAGCUUCACUUAGGCUUGUAACUUUUAGAUCAUUGCAUCUAAAUUACAUCCCAUCGCAAGUGCUAGACUAUCCCUUUGGCUUGAAAUGGCCUCUACAAAUCUUUCCAUCUAAUAAUGGACUGAAAUACAAAACAGCUUAUCCAAACUGCUCUUCACACAACUUGUUUUUGGAAGUCCUCAUUAAUUACAAUUGGGUAUAUUUGUUAGAAAAGGGAGGAUUUUAUUUCACCUGCAUUGUUUUUCUUUGGGGGUAGGAGAUAUAUCCCAUAGUGAGAUGGGUUCUUCACACUCGUGGUCUUGAAGGGUGCUUAAGGAACCAGUUUGGCCUCUGGCAAACCAUGUCAUUUUUGUACUAUUUGUGAUUAAAUGAACUCUGUGUGCUGCUCUGCUCUCCCUGUCUUUCCUUCCCUUUCUGGAGUGUCACCGUAGUGGCUGCCUCAGCAGAGGGGCAGGGACAGUGGCUGUGAGUUACCAACUCUGGUUUAGCCCUGCUCUGGGAUUUUUUUCCCUUGGGGGAUUCCUCGACUGCCCUGCUCUAGAGGUGGUGAUGCACAGGGGAAGGUCAGGGAUCUCGUCCUGGGAGGAAUGCAGUUUGCACUGUUGCUGGACUAGAAAACAAUGCUUUAAAAAUUUUAUUUUUGUUCUUUCACAUGAUCCAUUCUUUUAAAAAAUUUGUAGGAAAAUAUGCUUCCCUUUAAUUUCCGAGAAGAGUGCUUUUUUUUUUUUUCUUCUUUAAAAUAGAGUGAGUAAUGUUUCAGCUUUAAUAAAAGUAACUCUUUCUGAUAUACUUUUUGAUUCUUACAUAUAUGUGCUUAAAGUUUCAACUUAGUGUUCUUAUGACUGGUCAUAUAAGCUACUUGGUCUGUUUUUUAAGUGUUUGUGUUUUUAUACAUAGUAAACCUUUGAAUGAAACGUACCUAUUUAAUAUGUUACAUCUUAACUUCUGCUUAACUGAACCCUUCUAUUAUUAAUGGAAAAUAUCAAGGAUUUCUAUAACAUGUCCGUGCUGGGAAAAUCUUCCUGGUUUUGAAACCAGAAAACUUAAGUGUUACUUUGCACAACUCUGCCUCUCUUAGUAGAUAAUAAACAUUUUGUUGAUGGAUUCUGUGCUGUGACAUUGGUAAUGAAGGAGAUGCUAGAACAAGAAAACAUGAGAUGCUAGAACCUGAAAAACAUUGGUUUCCAUCAUAAAUAAGCUUGUUGCUAGUUUUUUAUUGUAUAUGCCUGUUAAAUUUAUAGCAUAACCAUAUUUUUAUGACAAUCAACUUGUUUGUAAUGCUUUAUUUAACUGGAGCACCAUGCUGUUUUAGAGGCCUUACUGUUGCCUCAGAAUGCAAACAUUGUCUGCUGCACUGGAGCUGGAGUGUCUGUGGGUGAAACAUUUGGCCUCAUACCUUUUGGAUGCUGGUGUUUUCCAGGGUUACAUGUAAAGUCCUAUAGCAUUUUCAAAAAGAGAAUAAUCUUUGAGAUUUCCUUCUUGUGCUCACCCUACAGUCAAUAAAAAUUUUUUUUUUUUUUUUUGCAAAACCACCCAGCAGUAGCCACUCACCCUACAUCCUCCAGGCUUUCAGCAGGAGCAGUCUUAAGCCAGUGCUGAAUGUUCGUGCAAGUUCCUCUUGCUAAGAGUUGCCUCUGGUUUGCUGUUACACAUGUAAUGGAUGCUCAGGUGAUUUAAAUGCCAGAAGAGAAAGUUGGUUUUUUUACCUUCUGUCAAGAUUUGCAGUAGGAGCUGGACAUCUUUAUUCCCCAGAGGUCCUCUGCCCUGCUGGGUACCUCAGAGUGAAAUUCCCAUCUUCAUUCUGUUGCCCUUUUCCCAGCAAUUACUAUUUUAAUUUUCCAUGUAAGAAACUCUGAUAAUGCCAGCUAUAUGUCAUUACCUGGUAUCAUUCAAAUACUAUUUGAUGAGUGUUUCCAAAAGCAGUAGGAAGGCUUACUCACCACCCUUUAUAGUAUAUUGACUUUUUUCCUAAGUGAUCAUGGUGUCCUUUACAAAAACUGAUUGAAAUUGUCUGAUAAUACAUUGUUCCUGUUACAGUAUGUGUGACUUCACAUAGCUGUUUAUUCAGAUUAGGUAAUUUAUUUGACAGUAAUCAUAUUUUAUGCAAUUUUUAAAAUGUUUAUGGGCUAUUUUAAGUGGUCUUAUGGGGUGAAGUGUAGGUACUUAUGGCUUGAUGUGUACGCGAGUGUAUGAAAAUAUCCACUGAAAUUGUGUAUUAAGCUGAGUUUAAGUGUGGUAGAAUUUUCCUGGGUUUGUUAUUACAUUUCUAACUAUACUUACAGUGUCAGGUAAAAUAUGUGAAGAUGCUCUGGAAUUUCAUGAGGUGUAUCUCCCAUUUAAAAAUCACUUCUAUAAAGAUUUUGUCUUUUGCUGGUACUCAAUUAGUUUAACAAACAAAACAGUUUUGUAGUAAAAAAUACAGUAAAUCAGUUGCAGAAUUCUGUCUGAAUGUGCAUAAAAUAAUUUAUUGAACAUAUGUUUUUUCAUGCUACUGGCCUAGCAGCAUGUAUUUGAUUUUGCUCCUAGUAGCAGCAGCAGAACUUGAAAUGCUGCAGUUUUAAGUGAACUUCCAGGGAGUGAGGAGUGUGGUCUCUCAGACCAUGCUUGUUUUUUUGAUGUCACCCCGAGAAAAAUAAAUUUAAAAUAAUUUGAUAGGGUUUUUCAGUGCCUGACUGUGCCCAGUUUGUUUAACAUGUCUCAGAGUAGCGGUUUCUGAUUUGGCCCCAGUAACGUUGUCUAUGUUAUGUUUAUGUUAUGUCAUAAUGAUAAUGUGUUAUCAUUAAUUUGACUGCAAGUGGAGAUAGUCUUUUUGGAAUGGAUGAAUACAUCGGCUUUAUACUUUAACUGCUUAAGGGAGAUUAAAAUUUUAGACCUUUUUUUAAGAGAAAAUCUGGCAAGAAAGUGAAUCAUACAGGUACUGUGAACAGACAUGUCUAUCCUGACUUUUUCUAUCUAAAUUAACCUUACAGAGAUUUUUUGGAGCUAUUGUCUAAAAUGUUGCAUUGUAGAUGUUGAGGAGGACGUCAGAGAAAAUAGAAAUGAUGAUUACUAUUCUUCCCAGUGAAAAUGGGCAAAUGGGCUAUUAACCCAUUUAAUCGUACGAUUAAAUUAUAAAUGUCUAUCAGCAUUUUGUAUUUGCAUAGGAUAUAAAUGUCUAUCAGCAUGCACUGGACCAGGUGGGAGUCUAUACAUCUGGGAGUCAGGGAGUGGGAUUUUUGGUUGUGUGGUUUUUGCUUUUAUUUUUGUAUUUAAUCCUUUCUCAACUUUGCAAACAACAAGGCUGACAUCCCUUCUGUAAUGUGUGGUAUUUUAAGACCUCAAAUGUCACCCAUUGCCUUGCCCUUUUGAUGAAUUUGUGCAUUCUGUGAAUGCUUAUGAAUCAGAGAGCAGAGGAAAACGGUGUAUUCGCUUCAGUGAAUUUAAAUAAAAAAACCCUGUGGUUACUGAUUACAGCAAAUACUCACCUUCUGUGUUUUUGUAGAAAUCACUUGGAGGUUCAAGUAUUUAAUCAUGUCAUAGGAUUUUAAGAGAGCCUAAUGGCUGGAUUCAGCGUGCAUGCUGUAGGUGCCAACGUGGUCUGUAGGCAGAACCAGUAUCUCUAAGGAGCGCAUCAGAGCAUUCAGGUGAGGCAUCUGCCUCCCUGCAUUGGCGAUACGGAGAGUUUUGGGUUGCCUCUGCGGUUGCAUGUACUUUUGGCAAUGCAGGGACCUGGCCAGUCUGCACCUCAGACUGUUACCCUCCUUUAAGACUGGGAUGGAUAGUGGGAGGAGCGGGACUCUGAGGGUGUCUGUGAUACGGACGGCCAGCAUGCUGGGACUGAAUACUGGAUAAAUCAGCUGUCUUUUGAUGGUAAAUGGUCAGGAGAGGUUGUCUUGACUUGAACUUGAUUCUGAUCCUCUUUGUUUCUGGUGGCAGUCAUAUACAUGGGGCAAAGGCUUUUACCAUUCAGCUGGUGGUUUGCUUUUU
This is a long non-coding RNA of Aquila chrysaetos chrysaetos, 4399 nucleotides long. RefSeq lists it as uncharacterized. Lineage: Eukaryota; Metazoa; Chordata; Aves; Accipitriformes; Accipitridae. The record is from RefSeq and is a predicted model, not a curated record. The transcript is spliced from 4 exons.